CCGGCUGCGCCCGGCGGG
This 18-nucleotide microRNA is filed under the name Corchorus olitorius. Its description in RNAcentral is "gga-miR-18". Lineage: Eukaryota; Viridiplantae; Streptophyta; Magnoliopsida; Malvales; Malvaceae. The record is from RNAcentral.